This 473-nucleotide ribosomal RNA is filed under the name uncultured bacterium. Its description in RNAcentral is "bacterial SSU rRNA". It matches the Rfam family "Bacterial small subunit ribosomal RNA", at positions 28 to 507 of the family's 1533-position model. The record is from RNAcentral.
GAUGAACGCUGGCGGCGUGCUUAACACAUGCAAGUCGAACGAAGCAGAUUGAGAUCUUCGGAAGGAUAUCUGACUGAGUGGCGGACGGGUGAGUAACGCGUGGGUAACCUGCCUCAUACAGGGGGAUAACAGUUAGAAAUGACUGCUAAUACCGCAUAAGCGCACAGUACCGCAUGGUACAGUGUGAAAAACUCCGGUGGUAUGAGAUGGACCCGCGUCUGAUUAGCUAGUUGGUGGGUAACGGCCUACCAAGGCGACGAUCAGUAGCCGACCUGAGAGGGUGACCGGCCACAUUGGGACUGAGACACGGCCCAAACUCCUACGGGAGCAGCAGUGGGGAAUAUUGGGGCAAUGGGCGCAAGCCUGACCCAGCAACGCCGCGUGAAGGAAGAAGGCUUUCGGGUUGUAAACUUCUUUUAUAAGGGACGAACACAAUGACGGUAGCCAAGAAGGAAGCCCCGGCUAACUACGUG